This 79-nucleotide non-coding RNA is filed under the name Emergencia timonensis. RNAcentral describes it as "Cyclic di-GMP-I riboswitch". It matches the Rfam family "c-di-GMP-I riboswitch aptamer". From Rfam's summary of the family: GEMM was predicted in a large-scale screen for bacterial structured RNA regulatory elements. Genes associated with GEMM are involved in a diverse array of functions, including chemotaxis regulation, signal transduction, secretion and chitin. The record is from RNAcentral. Lineage: Bacteria; Bacillati; Bacillota; Clostridia; Peptostreptococcales; Anaerovoracaceae.
UUGAAAAGAGCAAACUUGUCGAAAGGCAGGGACGCAAAGCUAUAGGGCCUGUUCCAGAAGGAUGGCUGCCAGUUGCCAA